This is a long non-coding RNA of Lynx canadensis (Canada lynx), 826 nucleotides long. RefSeq lists it as uncharacterized. Lineage: Eukaryota; Metazoa; Chordata; Mammalia; Carnivora; Felidae. The record is from RefSeq and is a predicted model, not a curated record. The transcript is spliced from 2 exons.
GUCUCUCUCUGUCCCAAAAAUAAAUAAACGUUGAAAAAAAAAUUUAUAAAAAAUAAAAAAAAAAAAACCAAAAAGGGAUAGAUUUGGGCGAUGAUGCUAUGUCAACGUAGGUUCAUCACUGUAACAAAUGGAACACAGGUCGGGGGUGUGGAUAAUGGGGGAGGCUGUGCAUGUGUCGGGGAUACGGGGACUCUCCAUGGCUUCUGCUCAGUCUUGCUGUCGACCUGUUUUACAGAAUAAAGUCACUCAGUCAUUCAGCUCACAUGUCCUUUACUCCUUAUACUCUCCACCUCCUAUUUGCUCAAAAUGUAGAUGCUUUUCUUAAGGUCAUGAAGCAAAAAGUCAAAUCUAGGGAUGGUGAAGCAGAAAGCUAAAGCCCGGGUUGUUGAGGACCGCAUCUGAGAAGCUGCACCAGCCUCGUGGCCUUCGUGCACCCGUUUCCUUCAUGCGACAGGAGAAGGAGAAAAUGAUCAGCCAGCACCUGACUGCAACACAUCACAGCUUCACUGAGGAAACCUGUGACACUUCCACCGCUAAAGACUCUCUGCCCUUCCUCCUUGGCUCAUGGUCAACACUGAAAGGCAGUCCAAGCUAACAGCCAGCUGCCUUCUGCUGUUUCAAAGGAGGCCUAAGCCGCUGAAAGCUACCUGGAGGUCUGGGCUGGAAGUUGUGUGUGGCCAAGGGGACCGAGGGUGGGGACAUUAUUAGUCCUGUUCUUGGUCUGAAGGUCAGUUUUACAGGGACAGCAGACAGAGAAGUGGGGUGGGGAAGAAAGGUCGGACAGCCUCUUCAAGAUUCUAUAAAUAAAGGAACAGUCUCCUCCCAA